RNAcentral lists this long non-coding RNA (1217 nucleotides) under Callithrix jacchus (white-tufted-ear marmoset). RNAcentral's name for it is "lncRNA (ENSCJAG00000078105.1)". The record is from RNAcentral. Lineage: Eukaryota; Metazoa; Chordata; Mammalia; Primates; Cebidae.
AUGGAGCCAGAGAUGAGAACCGUUGUUGUGAUGUUUGCAAUGAGCACAGCUAAACAACACCCAGCAGGAUUACUGGAAGACCUAGGGCCUCGGCAGAAGAGGAAGCAGGAAAAGGGAAAAAAAAUAGGUGAUUUGGCAAGAGAAAUUUUUUUUUUUUUUUGAGACAGAGUUUCGCUCUUGUUACCCAGGCUGGAGUGCAAUGGCGCAAUCUCGGCUCACCGCAACCUCCGCCUCCUGGGCUCAGGCAAUUCUCCUGCCUCAGCCUCCCGAGUAGCUGGGAUUACAGGCACGCGCCACCAUGCCCAGCUAAUUUUUUGUAUUUUUAGUAGAGACGGGGUUUCACCAUGUUGACCUGGAUGGUCUCGAUCUCUUGACCUUGUGAUCCACCCGUCUCGGCCUCCCAAAGUGCUGGGAUUACAGGCGUGAGCCACCGCGCCCGGCCCGCUAACCCACUUUUAAGAACAGCAACAACAAGUUUCACAUUAAAUUUUUAUCGUUCUGGUUGUCAGCAUAAAUUCUGAAAAUAUUCUGUAGACAAUGGUAAUAUGUUAAAAUCAUUCAGGCGGUCAUUAUAUCCAUUAAUUAAUAAAGUCCUGCAUGUUUUUAUAUAUUGAAUCACACACUCUGCCCUGACUUCACUAUACAUUUUCAUUUUCCCAUAUUUGGCUUGUCCUGGAAUGCUUUCUGUCAUGGAAGUCACAAACCAGAUGCCCAUGCUGAAAAUUAAAUCUGCCGAUGUCUUUCAUUUAUUUUGUGUAGUUUCAUUUACAGAUUUGAAUUAGAUACAUAUACUUCAAAAGUCAACAAUUUCACAUGAAAUUUCCAUAUUAUCUUGAAAAAUCAGAACAUCUGGCAGCUGUGGGCCCAUGGGCUUCCGUAACAAUGGCCAGAGCUGCCUCGUGGCUGCCACGUUGAUAGGAGUUAAGCUUCUGGUUGUUCACUGUUGGUAUCACUCCCAUUUGCUUUUCUUCCCUCAGCUAAAUUCAUUCCCUGAAAGCAUCUGUCUCCUGUAAGAUUUGAGCUUAUGACCUUGGGGUAGAAGCCAGAUUAUCUCUCAAGGCUACCUAGGUUUGCCCAAGCUUGUUUCCAUUAGCAUUAUAUUUCUUUUUCCUCCACAAAUUCAAUGUAGUUGUUUUGUAAAAUUGGUCUCCUCAACUCAGAUGGUCAGCUUCUAAGGGUGGAAUCUAGCUCCUUCCCACUUCGUCUCUGACAGUACC